RNAcentral lists this ribosomal RNA (485 nucleotides) under uncultured bacterium. Its description in RNAcentral is "partial 16S ribosomal RNA". It matches the Rfam family "Bacterial small subunit ribosomal RNA", at positions 29 to 523 of the family's 1533-position model. The record is from RNAcentral.
AGUGAACGCUGGCGGCGUGCUUAACACAUGCAAGUCGAACGAGAACGGGAUAUAGCUUGCUAUAUUUGUCAGCUAAGUGGCGCACGGGUGAGUAAUGUAUAGAUAACCUGCCCUCUAGAAAGGAAUAACAGUUGGAAACGACUGCUAAUGCCCUAUAUGCCCUUAAUACAUAAGUAUGCAAGGGAAACGCUUUAGUGCUAGAGGAUGGGCCUGUAUGGUAUCAGCUUGUUGGUGAGGUAAUGGCUCACCAAGGCUAUGACGCCUAACUGGUUUGAGAGGAUGAUCAGUCACACUAGAACUGAGACACGGUCCAGACUCCUACGGGAGGCAGCAGUGGGGAAUAUUGCACAAUGGACGAAAGUCUGAUGCAGCAACGCCGCGUGGAGGAUGACACAUUUCGGUGCGUAAACUCCUUUUAUAUAGGAAGAUAAUGACGGUACUAUAUGAAUAAGCACCGGCUAACUCCGUGCCAGCCGCCGCGGUAA